AGAGAGAGAGAAAAAAAAACAGAAUAACAGUCAGUAUGCUUACGUAAUGCCUGAACAUCUGUCGGAGUUGUAGGUUCAACACUCAUCGUUCUAGACUUCAUUGCUCCAGUGGACCUCCCCGAAGAAAAACAAGCCGUCAUCCCGGAGGGUUAAAGAACAUGAGAGCCGUCAUCAUAGUUUGCCUGUUCGCAGCCGCUUUUGUGGCUCCGGGCGAAGUGAAGCUGAUCCGUACCAAGAGGGAUAGUUAUCCCGCGGCGUACGAGACGGAACACAGUGAGUCUAGUGUGCAGAUCUUUUA
Molecule: long non-coding RNA, 298 nt
Organism: Penaeus monodon (black tiger shrimp)
Lineage: Eukaryota; Metazoa; Arthropoda; Malacostraca; Decapoda; Penaeidae
Exons: 3
Source: RefSeq, a predicted model, not a curated record